Molecule: ribosomal RNA, 443 nt
Filed under: uncultured bacterium
Lineage: Bacteria
Description: partial 16S ribosomal RNA
Rfam family: Bacterial small subunit ribosomal RNA
Source: RNAcentral
CCUACGGGUGACUGCAGUGGGGAAUAUUGGGCAAUGGGCGCAAGCCUGACCCAGCAACGCCGCGUGAAUGAAGAAGGCCCUCGGGUUGUAAAGUUCUUUUGUCAGGGACGAAGGUAGUGACGGUACUUGACGCAUAAGCCACGGUUAACUACGUGCCAGCAGCCGCGGUAAUACGUAGGGGGCAAGCGUUAACCGGAUUUACUGGGUGUAAAGGGCGUGAAGGCGGGACUUCAAGUCAGAUGUGAAAGUCCAGGGCUCAACCCUGGAACUGCAUUUGAAACUGUAGUUCUUGAGUGAUGGAGAGGGAGGCGGAAUUCCGGGUGUAGCGGUGAAAUGCGUAGAGAUACGGAGGAACACCAGUGGCGAAGGCGGCCUGCUGGACAUUAACUGACGCUGAGGCGCGAAAGCGUGGGGAGCAAACAGGAUUAGAUACCCGAGUAGUC